AGGCAAAAGUCUGGUGCAGAGGUGAAUUCAGAGAAGAUUCUGUUAUGUCUUUGUUUGUUUUUUUGGUAUUUUUUUUUACUACA
Molecule: small RNA, 83 nt
Filed under: Arabidopsis thaliana (thale cress)
Lineage: Eukaryota; Viridiplantae; Streptophyta; Magnoliopsida; Brassicales; Brassicaceae
Description: ATSL181000
Source: RNAcentral